Molecule: ribosomal RNA, 331 nt
Filed under: uncultured Bacillota bacterium
Lineage: Bacteria; Bacillati; Bacillota
Description: bacterial SSU rRNA
Rfam family: Bacterial small subunit ribosomal RNA
Source: RNAcentral
GACGAACGCUGGCGGCGUGCCUAACACAUGCAAGUCGAGCGGAGGUACUGGAGGAGUAAUCUGAGAGUACUUGAGCGGCGGACGGGUGAGUAACGCGUGAGCAACCUGCCUUUCACAGGGGGAUAACGCAGCGAAAGCUGCACUAAUACCGCAUGAGACCACGGUGGAGAUACCACAGGGGUCAAAGGAGCAAUCCGGUGAGAGAUGGGCUCGCGUCCGAUUAGGUAGUUGGUGAGGUAAAGGCCCACCAAGCCAAUGAUCGGUAGCCGGCCUGAGAGGGUGAACGGCCACAUUGGAACUGAGAGACGGUCCAAACUCCUACGGGAGGCUG